AUUGAACGCUGGCGGCAGGCUUUACACAUGCAAGUCGAACGGCAGCGCGGGCUUCGGCCUGGCUGCGAGUGGCGGACGGGUGAGUGAGGCAUCGGAACGUGCCCAGCAGUGGGGGAUAGCCCGGCGAAGUCCGGAAUAAUACCGCAUACGACCUGAGGGUGUAAGCGGGGGACCGAAAGGCCUCGCGCUAUUGGACCGGCCGAUGUCGGAUUAGCUAGUUGGUGGGGUAAAGGCUUACCAAGGCGACGAUCCGUAGCUGGUCUGAGAGGACGACCAGCCACACUGGGACUGAGACACGGCCCAGACUCCUACGGGAGGCAGCAGUGGGGAAUAUUGGACAAUGGGCGCAACCCUGAUCCAGCCAUGCCGCGUGCGGGAAGAAGGCCUUCGGGUUGUAAAGCGCUUUUGUUCGGGAAGAAAACCUCUGGGCUAAUACCCCGCGGGGAUGACGGUACCGAAAGAAUAAGCACCGGCUAACUACGUG
Molecule: ribosomal RNA, 484 nt
Filed under: uncultured bacterium
Lineage: Bacteria
Description: partial 16S ribosomal RNA
Rfam family: Bacterial small subunit ribosomal RNA
Source: RNAcentral